UNUUACCAGAAAGGGACGGCUAANUACGUGCCAGCAGCCGCGGUAAUACGUAGNUCCCGAGCGUUGUCCGGAUUUAUUGGGCGUAAAGCGAGCGCAGGCGGUUAGAUAANUCUGAAGUUAAAGGCUGUGGCUUAACCAUAGUACGCUUUGGAAACUGUUUAACUUGAGUGCAGAAGGGGAGAGUGGAAUUCCAUGUGUAGCGGUGAAAUGCGUAGAUAUAUGGAGGAACACCGGUGGCGAAAGCGGCUCUCUGGUCUGUAACUGACGCUGAGGCUCGAAAGCGUGGGGAGCGAACAGGAUUAGAUACCCUGGUAGUCCACGCCGUAAACGAUGAGUGCUAGGUGUUAGGCCCUUUCCGGGGCUUAGUGCCGCAGCUAACGCAUUAAGCACUCCGCCUGGGGAGUACGACCGCAAGGUUGAAACUCAAAGGAAUUGACGGGGGCCCGCACAAGCGGUGGAGCAUGUGGUUUAAUUCGAAGCAACGCGAAGAACCUUACCAGGUCUUGACAUCCCGAUGCCCGCUCUAGAGAUAGAGUUUUACUUCGGUACAUCGGUGACAGGUGGUGCAUGGUUGUCGUCAGCUCGUGUCGUGAGAUGUUGGGUUAAGUCCCGCAACGAGCGCAACCCUUAUUGUUAGUUGCCAUCAUUCAGUUGGGCACUCUAGCGAGACUGCCGGUAAUAAACCGGAGGAAGGUGGGGAUGACGUCAAAUCAUCAUGCCCCUUAUGACCUGGGCUACACACGUGCUACAAUGGCUGGUACAACGAGUCGCAAGUCGGUGACGGCAAGCUAAUCUCUUAAAGCCAGUCUCAGUUCGGAUUGUAGGCUGCAACUCGCCUACAUGAAGUCGGAAUCGCUAGUAAUCGCGGAUCAGCACGCCGCGGUGAAUACGUUCCCGGGCCUUGUACACACCGCCCGUCACACCACGAGAGUUUGUAACACCCGA
This 945-nucleotide ribosomal RNA is filed under the name uncultured bacterium. RNAcentral describes it as "bacterial SSU rRNA". It matches the Rfam family "Bacterial small subunit ribosomal RNA", at positions 478 to 1424 of the family's 1533-position model. The record is from RNAcentral.